CCUACGGGUGGCAGCAGUGGGGAAUAUUGCACAAUGGGGGAAACCCUGAUGCAGCGACGCCGCGUGAGUGAAGAAGUAUCUCGGUACGUAAAGCUCUAUCAGCAGGGAAGAAAAUAACGGUACCUGACUAAUAAGCCCCGGCUAACUACGUGCCAGAAACCGCCGUAAUACGUAGGGGGCAAGCGUUAUCCGGAUUUACUGGUUGUAAAGUGAGCGGAGACGGCAGCACAAGUCUGGAGUGAAAUCCCGGGGCUUAACCCCGGAACUGCGUUGGAAACUGUGCGGCUGGAGUGCAGGAGGGGUAGGUGGAAUUCCUAGUGUAGCGGUGAAAUGCGUAGAGAUUAGGAGGAACACCGGUGGCGAAGGCGGCUUACUGGACUGUAACUGACGUUGAGGCUCGAAAGCGUGGGGAGCAAACAGGAUUAGAUACCCGUGUAGUC
RNAcentral lists this ribosomal RNA (440 nucleotides) under uncultured bacterium. RNAcentral describes it as "partial 16S ribosomal RNA". It matches the Rfam family "Bacterial small subunit ribosomal RNA", at positions 338 to 795 of the family's 1533-position model. The record is from RNAcentral.